AUUGAACGCUGGCGGCAGGCUUAACACAUGCAAGUCGAGCGGGGGAAGGUAGCUUGCUACCGGACCUAGCGGCGGAUAGGUGCGUAAUGCUUAGGAAUCUGCCUAUUAGUGGGGGACAACAUCUCGAAAGGGAUGCUAAUACCGCAUACGUCCUACGGGAGAAAGCAGGGGAUCUUCGGUCCUUGCGCUAAUAGAUGAGACUAAGUCGGAUUAGAUAGUAGGUGGGGUAAAGGCCUACCAAGGCGACGAUCUGUAGCGGGUCUGAGAGGAUGAUCCGCCACACUGGGACUGAGACACGGCCCAGACUCCUACGGGAGGCAGCAGUGGGGAAUAUUGGACAAUGGGGGGAACCCUGAUCCAGCCAUGCCGCGUGUGUGAAGAAGGCCUUAUGGUUGUAAAGCACUUUAAGCGAGGAGGAGGCUACUUUAGUUAAUACCUGGAGAUAGUGGACGUUACUCGCAGAAUAAGCACCGGCUAACUCUGUGCCAGCCGCCGCAGUAA
Molecule: ribosomal RNA, 501 nt
Filed under: uncultured bacterium
Lineage: Bacteria
Description: partial 16S ribosomal RNA
Rfam family: Bacterial small subunit ribosomal RNA
Source: RNAcentral